This 792-nucleotide ribosomal RNA is filed under the name uncultured bacterium. RNAcentral describes it as "bacterial SSU rRNA". It matches the Rfam family "Bacterial small subunit ribosomal RNA", at positions 29 to 802 of the family's 1533-position model. The record is from RNAcentral.
ACGAACGCUGGCGGCGUGCUUAACACAUGCAAGUCAAGGGGAAAAUUCUCUUUCGGAGAGUGAGUAUACUGGCGAACGGGUGCGUAACGCGUGGGGUAAUCUACCCUCGAGAUUGGGAUAACUCACCGAAAGGUGUGCUAAUACCAAAUAAAGUCUCAGUAGUUAUAUUGGGAUUAAAGAUGGGGACCUUCGGGCCUAUUGCUUGAGGAUGAGCCUGCGUCUGAUUAGCUUGUUGGUAGGGUAAUGGCCUACCAAGGCUGCGAUCAGUAGCUGGUCUGAGAGGAUGAUCAGCCACAUUGGGACUGAGAUACGGCCCAGACUCCUACGGGAGGCAGCAGUGAGGAAUUUUGCGCAAUGGGCGAAAGCCUGACGCAGCAACGCCGCGUGACUGAUGAAGCUCUGAGGAGUGUAAAGGUCUGUCGCAGGGGAAGAAUAAGUCUGACGAGAAUAUUUUCAGAUGAUGACGGUACCCUGUGAGAAAGCUCCGGCUAACUCCGUGCCAGCAGCCGCGGUAAUACGGGGGGGAGCAAGCGUUGUCCGGAAUCAUUGGGCGUAAAGGGCAUGUACGCGUCCCGAUAAGUUUUUGGUUAAAUCCUUCUGCUCAACGGAAGACUUGCCAGAAAAACUGUCGGGAUUGAGUUCGGAAGAGGAAAGCGGAAUUCCUGGUGUAGCGGUGAAAUGCGUAGAUAUCAGGAAGAACACCGGUGGCGAAGGCGGCUUUCUGGUCCGAAACUGACGCUGAUAUGCGAAAGCGUGGGUAGCGACAGGAUAGAUACCUUGUAGUCAAGGCCG